CGAUUACUCAUCCCAUCAUUACCAUUCUCCUGAGUCAUCCAGGCUGGCUCAUAUUGGUUCCAAAUGAAUAAGAGUCUUCAGGCAGUGGACUCGAGGGCCAAGAUUUCCAACCGGAUGUUUCUGUUUGCAGUGUUGGGGAGUCCUGGAAAGGUUGACUUUCCUAGUGUUCCUGAUGCUUUUGGAAGAACCGAACUUGUUGG
Molecule: long non-coding RNA, 200 nt
Filed under: Suricata suricatta (meerkat)
Lineage: Eukaryota; Metazoa; Chordata; Mammalia; Carnivora; Herpestidae
Description: lncRNA (ENSSSUG00005002717.1)
Source: RNAcentral